RNAcentral lists this transfer RNA (73 nucleotides) under Chitinophaga polysaccharea. RNAcentral's name for it is "tRNA-Ile". It matches the Rfam family "tRNA". Rfam says of the family: Transfer RNA (tRNA) molecules are approximately 80 nucleotides in length. Their secondary structure includes four short double-helical elements and three loops (D, anti-codon, and T loops). Further hydrogen bonds mediate the characteristic L-shaped molecular structure. tRNAs have two regions of fundamental functional importance: the anti-codon, which is responsible for specific mRNA codon recognition, and the 3' end, to which the tRNAs corresponding amino acid is attached (by aminoacyl-tRNA synthetases). tRNAs cope with the degeneracy of the genetic code in two manners: having more than one tRNA (with a specific anti-codon) for a particular amino acid; and 'wobble' base-pairing, i.e. permitting non-standard base-pairing at the 3rd anti-codon position. The record is from RNAcentral. Lineage: Bacteria; Pseudomonadati; Bacteroidota; Chitinophagia; Chitinophagales; Chitinophagaceae.
UGACCAGUAACUCAAUGGUGAGAGCGACUGCCUUAUACGCAGCAGGCUACCGGUUCAAAUCCGGUCUGGUCAA